UGCAAGUCGAACGGCAGCGCGGGGGCUUCGGUCUCUGGCGGCGAGUGGCGGACGGGUGAGUAAUAUAUGGGAACGCGCCCGGCGGCGGGGGAUAACUCUGGGAAACCAGAGCUAAUACCGCAUGCGUUUCGCCUUUCGGGGCGAAAGAAAGCGGGGGACUUCUUCGGAGGCCUCGCACCGGCGGAGCGGCCCAUAUCCGAUUAGCUUGUUGGCGGGGUAACAGCCCACCAAGGCCGCGAUCGGUAGCUGGUCUGAGAGGACGGACAGCCACACCGGGACUGAGACACGGCCCGGACUCCUACGGGAGGCAGCAGUGGGGAAUAUUGGACAAUGGGGGCAACCCUGAUCCAGCAAUGCCGCGUGUGUGAAGAAGGCCUUCGGGUUGUAAAGCACUUUCGCGGGGGAAGAAAAAGCGAGAGGUAAUAUCUCUCGCGCCUGACGGUACCCCGAGAAGAAGCACCGGCUAACUACGUGCCAGCAGCCGCGGUAAUACGUAGGGUGCGAGCGUUAAUCGGAAUUACUGGGCGUAAAGCGUGCGCAGGCGGCCUGUCAAGUCGGGUGUGAAAUCCCCGGGCUCAACCCGGGAAUUGCGCUUGAAACCGGCGGGCUAGAGUACGGCAGAGGAAGGUGGAAUUCCGUGUGUAGCGGUGAAAUGCGUAGAUAUACGGAAGAACACUCAUGGCGAAGGCAUCCUUCUGGGCCGUAACUGACGCUCAUGCACGAAAGCGUG
RNAcentral lists this ribosomal RNA (730 nucleotides) under uncultured bacterium. Its description in RNAcentral is "bacterial SSU rRNA". It matches the Rfam family "Bacterial small subunit ribosomal RNA", at positions 56 to 763 of the family's 1533-position model. The record is from RNAcentral.